Molecule: ribosomal RNA, 262 nt
Filed under: uncultured bacterium
Lineage: Bacteria
Description: partial 16S ribosomal RNA
Rfam family: Bacterial small subunit ribosomal RNA
Source: RNAcentral
CCGCGGUAAUACGUAGGUGGCAAGCGUUAUCCGGAAUUAUUGGGCGUAAAGCGCGCGCAGGCAGAUUGAUAAGUCAGGUGUGAAAUCUCGAGGCUCAACCUCGAAACUGCGCCUGAAACUAUUAGUCUAGAAUGUCGGAGGGGAUAGGGGAAUUUCACGUGUAGGGGUAAAAUCCGUAGAGAUGUGAAGGAACACCGGAGGCGAAGGCGCCUAUCUGGACGACUAUUGACGCUGAGGCUCGAAAGCGUGGGGAGCAAACAGG